Molecule: ribosomal RNA, 253 nt
Filed under: uncultured bacterium
Lineage: Bacteria
Description: partial 16S ribosomal RNA
Rfam family: Bacterial small subunit ribosomal RNA
Source: RNAcentral
UACGUAGGGUGCAAGCGUUAAUCGGAAUUACUGGGCGUAAAGCGUGCGCAGGCGGUUUUGUAAGUCUGGCGUGAAAGCCCCGGGCUCAACCUGGGAAUUGCGAUGGAGACUGCAAGGCUUGAAUCUGGCAGAGGGGGGUAGAAUUCCACGUGUAGCAGUGAAAUGCGUAGAUAUCGGAAGGAACACCAGUGGCGAAAGCGGCUUCCUGGUCCAGCACCGACGUUCAGGCACGAAAGCGUGGGGAGCAAACAGG